This 77-nucleotide transfer RNA is filed under the name Escherichia coli. RNAcentral's name for it is "tRNA-Pro". It matches the Rfam family "tRNA". Rfam says of the family: Transfer RNA (tRNA) molecules are approximately 80 nucleotides in length. Their secondary structure includes four short double-helical elements and three loops (D, anti-codon, and T loops). Further hydrogen bonds mediate the characteristic L-shaped molecular structure. tRNAs have two regions of fundamental functional importance: the anti-codon, which is responsible for specific mRNA codon recognition, and the 3' end, to which the tRNAs corresponding amino acid is attached (by aminoacyl-tRNA synthetases). tRNAs cope with the degeneracy of the genetic code in two manners: having more than one tRNA (with a specific anti-codon) for a particular amino acid; and 'wobble' base-pairing, i.e. permitting non-standard base-pairing at the 3rd anti-codon position. The record is from RNAcentral. Lineage: Bacteria; Pseudomonadati; Pseudomonadota; Gammaproteobacteria; Enterobacterales; Enterobacteriaceae.
CGGCACGUAGCGCAGCCUGGUAGCGCACCGUCAUGGGGUGUCGGGGGUCGGAGGGUCAAAUCCUCUCGUGCCGACCA